RNAcentral lists this ribosomal RNA (253 nucleotides) under uncultured bacterium. RNAcentral describes it as "partial 16S ribosomal RNA". It matches the Rfam family "Bacterial small subunit ribosomal RNA", at positions 524 to 776 of the family's 1533-position model. The record is from RNAcentral.
UACGUAGGGUGCAAGCGUUGUCCGGAAUUAUUGGGCGUAAAGAGCUCGUAGGCGGUCUGUCGCGUCUGCUGUGAAAACUCAGGGCUUAACCCUGAGCUUGCAGUGGGUACGGGCAGACUAGAGUGCGGUAGGGGAGAUUGGAAUUCCUGGUGUAGCGGUGGAAUGCGCAGAUAUCAGGAGGAACACCGAUGGCGAAGGCAGAUCUCUGGGCCGUAACUGACGCUGAGGAGCGAAAGCAUGGGGAGCGAACAGG